CCUACGGGAGGCAGCAGUGGGGAAUAUUGCACAAUGGGCGCAAGCCUGAUGCAGCCAUGCCGCGUGUAUGAAGAAGGCCUUCGGGUUGUAAAGUACUUUCAGCAGUGAGGAAGGGGUGGUGUUUAAUAGACGCCAUUCUUGACGUUAGCUGCAGAAGAAGCACCGGCUAACUCCGUGCCAGCAGCCGCGGUAAUA
RNAcentral lists this ribosomal RNA (195 nucleotides) under uncultured bacterium. RNAcentral's name for it is "partial 16S ribosomal RNA". It matches the Rfam family "Bacterial small subunit ribosomal RNA", at positions 338 to 525 of the family's 1533-position model. The record is from RNAcentral.